This 377-nucleotide ribosomal RNA is filed under the name uncultured bacterium. RNAcentral describes it as "partial 16S ribosomal RNA". It matches the Rfam family "Bacterial small subunit ribosomal RNA", at positions 355 to 724 of the family's 1533-position model. The record is from RNAcentral.
UGGGGAAUAUUGCACAAUGGGCGCAAGCCUGAUGCAGCCAUGCCGCGUGUAUGAAGAAGGCCUUCGGGUUGUAAAGUACUUUCAGCGAGGAGGAAGGCGUUGUGGUUAAUAACCGCAACGAUUGACGUUACUCGCAGAAGAAGCACCGGCUAACUCCGUGCCAGCAGCCGCGGUAAUACGGAGGGUGCAAGCGUUAAUCGGAAUUACUGGGCGUAAAGCGCACGCAGUCGGUCUGUCAAGUCGGAUGUGAAAUCCCCGGGCUCAACCUGGGGACUGCAUCCGAAACUGGCAGGCUAGAGUCUUGUAGAGGGGGGUAGAAUUCCAGGUGUAGCGGUGAAAUGCGUAGAGAUCUGGAGGAAUACCGGUGGCGAAGGCGG